GACCAUUUAGUUUAUAAAAAAUAGAUAUUUUGAAAAUAUCAGAAAAGGGAAAUUUUACUUAAUGAUCG
Molecule: transfer RNA, 68 nt
Filed under: Scylla paramamosain (green mud crab)
Lineage: Eukaryota; Metazoa; Arthropoda; Malacostraca; Decapoda; Portunidae
Description: tRNA-Ser
Source: RNAcentral